UGGGACCUGGUGUACGGUGCACAGCUGCCUUCGAUAUCAAAUCUCAGCAACGGGGGCAGCAGCGAGACGGGGUUCAAUUCCCUGGGUCCCAA
Molecule: non-coding RNA, 92 nt
Organism: Mycena albidolilacea
Lineage: Eukaryota; Fungi; Basidiomycota; Agaricomycetes; Agaricales; Mycenaceae
Source: the annotation of a GenBank genome assembly